RNAcentral lists this ribosomal RNA (429 nucleotides) under bacterium. RNAcentral describes it as "partial 16S ribosomal RNA". It matches the Rfam family "Bacterial small subunit ribosomal RNA", at positions 355 to 776 of the family's 1533-position model. The record is from RNAcentral.
UAGGGAAUCUCCGGCAAUGGGGGCAACCCUGACCGAGCAACGCCGCGUGAGUGAAGAAGGCUUUCGGAUCGUAAAGCUCUGUUGUAAGAGAAGAACGUGUGUGAGAGUGGAAAGUUCACACAGUGACGGUAACUUACCAGAAAGGGACGGCUAACUACGUGCCAGCAGCCGCGGUAAUACGUAGGUCCCGAGCGUUGUCCGGAUUUAUUGGGCGUAAAGCGAGCGCAGGCGGUUUAAUAAGUCUGAAGUUAAAGGCAGUGGCUUAACCAUUGUUCGCUUUGGAAACUGUUAAACUUGAGUGCAGAAGGGGAGAGUGGAAUUCCAUGUGUAGCGGUGAAAUGCGUAGAUAUAUGGAGGAACUCCGGUGGCGAAAGCGGCUCUCUGGUCUGUAACUGACGCUGAGGCUCGAAAGCGUGGGGAGCAAACAGG